RNAcentral lists this ribosomal RNA (388 nucleotides) under uncultured bacterium. RNAcentral describes it as "bacterial SSU rRNA". It matches the Rfam family "Bacterial small subunit ribosomal RNA", at positions 29 to 417 of the family's 1533-position model. The record is from RNAcentral.
AUUGAACGCUGGCGGCAUGCCUUACACACGCAAGUCGAACGGCAGCACGGGGGCAACCCUGGUGGCGAGUGGCGAACGGGUGAGUAAUGCAUCGGAACGUGCCCAGUAGUGGGGGAUAACUAGUCGAAAGAUUAGCUAAUACCGCAUACGACCUAUGGGUGAAAGCGGGGGAUUCGCAAGAACCUCGCGCUAUCGGAGCGGCCGAUGUCUGAUUAGCUAGUUGGCGGGGAAAGGCCCACCAAGGCUUCGAUCAGUAGCUGGUCUGAGAGGACGACCAGCCACACUGGGACUGAGACACGGCCCAGACUCCUACGGGAGGCAGCAGUGGGGAAUUUUGGACAAUGGGCGCAAGCCUGAUCCAGCCAUGCCGCGUGCGGGAAGAAGGCCU